UCCGUAGGCGGUGUGGCAAGUCGGUAGUGAAAUCUCUCGGCUUAACUGAGAGGCCGCUGCCGAAACUGCCAUGCUCGAGUGCGAGAGAGGCGAGUGGAAUUGCGGGUGUAGCGGUGAAAUGCGUAGAUAUCCGCAGGAACAUCCGAGGCGAAAGCGGCUCGCUGGAUCGCAACUGACGCUGAGGGACGAAAGCUAGGGGAGCAAACAGGAUUAGAUACCCUGGUAGUCCUAGCCCUAAACCAUCAGGACUUGGGGUUUGCCCUGUACGGGGCAAGUCCCGGAGCUAACGCGUUAAGUCCUGCGCCUGGGGAGUACGGUCGCAAGGCUGAA
This 330-nucleotide ribosomal RNA is filed under the name uncultured bacterium. Its description in RNAcentral is "bacterial SSU rRNA". It matches the Rfam family "Bacterial small subunit ribosomal RNA", at positions 568 to 898 of the family's 1533-position model. The record is from RNAcentral.